This is a transfer RNA of 72 nucleotides. It matches the Rfam family "tRNA". Rfam says of the family: Transfer RNA (tRNA) molecules are approximately 80 nucleotides in length. The record is from Rfam.
GGACGCGUGGUCUAGUGGUAUGACGUCUGCUUCACACGCAGAAGAUCUCCAGUUCGAUCCUGGGCGUGUUCA